UAUAAGUCUAAGUCAUCUAAGUCUGUAAUGAACGAGCAGGAAAGUAUGGUGCCAAGGUCUUUCAUUUGAUGAAAAAUAUCAACUUGAUAUUAGUUCAGUGAAACAAGAAAAGAAGCCAUUUGACUUGGUUUAAGGAAAUAAGGAACAUGGAUUAAUUGAGGUAGUACUAGUGUGCA
This is a long non-coding RNA of Dendronephthya gigantea, 176 nucleotides long. RefSeq lists it as uncharacterized. The record is from RefSeq and is a predicted model, not a curated record. NCBI's taxonomy places the organism in Eukaryota, Metazoa, Cnidaria, Anthozoa, Malacalcyonacea, Nephtheidae. The transcript is spliced from 3 exons.